Molecule: transfer RNA, 74 nt
Filed under: Hungatella sp.
Lineage: Bacteria; Bacillati; Bacillota; Clostridia; Lachnospirales; Lachnospiraceae
Description: tRNA-Ile
Rfam family: tRNA
About the family: Transfer RNA (tRNA) molecules are approximately 80 nucleotides in length. Their secondary structure includes four short double-helical elements and three loops (D, anti-codon, and T loops).
Source: RNAcentral
GGGCCUUUAGCUCAGUUGGUUAGAGCAACCGGCUCAUAACCGGUCGGUCCUGGGUUCGAGUCCCCGAAGGUCCA